Molecule: long non-coding RNA, 1318 nt
Organism: Adelges cooleyi (spruce gall adelgid)
Lineage: Eukaryota; Metazoa; Arthropoda; Insecta; Hemiptera; Adelgidae
Exons: 8
Source: RefSeq, a predicted model, not a curated record
UGUAUGAUUGAACUUCACAAGGCACUCACGAGUAUUGUAAUAAUUAUUCUUAGAAAACAAAUGACUAAAUGUAUAAUAUUCAUCAUACUUACACAGUAGACAGUAGUUCUUCUACAGUUUUUGCUAUUAGUUCUUUUCUUUGUAAAUCAAUUGUAUUAGUGUCGUGUACAAAUGAUUGGAUAUCGACUCAAAAACAAAGAUGGAAAACCUGAGUACGGAGUAGAAGAUUCAAAUUUUGAAUUGACCUUUUAUUCAACUUUUGUUUACAAGCCAUUCACGUCACUGGAUUUACAAAGUAAUUAGGUCCUGAUUAUAAAGUAUCGUAACCAAAUGUAUGUCUACAUGAGAAAAUUCAAACAUCAAUACUUGCGGGAUCUACUGAAAGCAGAAAGAGUACCCGAGUAUCACAGUGCUUAAUUAUAAUACGAGGCCGCAAUCACCAUAUUAGUACUUCCCAAAAUGAGUGCCAAGACUUUGACAAGCUGUGAAGCACCAGAAACAAAAAAAACAUCUCGAUCAACUGUUGGCUGUUCAGUAAGAUUGUAUAACUGCUCUGAACCUAAUACAAAAAUUAAGGUAUUUUGUUGAAUGAAACGAUAAGUAAUCUCUUAUUCUUACUAGUCAACUGUUCGGCAAAGUAAACUAGAGAAGUUUAUUGACAAAUAUUUAAAUGGGUAUUUUGAAAAAAAGUUGAAAAAACGGCCAACAUUACAGCUAGUUUACUGUCUGCAACAACGAACAUUUUACAACUUCAAAUUUGUUUUAAAUUUUAAGUAGAGUGAUAACGCUGAUGACAAUAUCACAAAGAAGAUUGUAUCCAACUAAAUAAUUUUUCUUGAGAGGAUAAAACUGUUUCCUGUUCUGAUGCAUGGAUGAAAAAGAUAAACGAUUAUAAGCGCCCUUGACCUGCUCGGAGAACUUUUUUAUACGUUUUUUUUACCAACAUCUGUUAAAACAUUAUUUAUGGAAUCGUUAAUGUUUAUACAGCGUUUGCUGGACAAAGAGCCAUACGAGCUGGAAGUGAGCGACCUGGAUACAAGUAUGAUAAACUAUGUCUUUUAUGACUUAGAAAACAUUUAUUACCAAAUAGUGGUGUCACUGUAAUUAUUCAACUACAACAAAUUAUGCAAAGCGUAAAAGAUACGUGUUUAUUUGUUAAACACGAUGAAAUAGUUUAAAAUGCCAUUUAAUUUGUGCAAAGGAGACACAAGAAUCAUCCUUAAAUGCAAUGUGUGCAUAAGUCUGUCGGUGCUGAUGAAGAUCUAUUAGUUCACCCCCGAUCAAUUUUCACCUAUGUUAAUCGAUCGCAUUUGUACGC